GACUUGAAGACAGUGAAGACUAAUGAAGUAGAACGUCAGAAACCUACUGUGAAGGAAACUGAAAUUAACACAGCCCUUCCCAAGCAAUUCUUCGGGAAAAGAGAAGAAAAACUUCCUUACAAAGCAUUUUGAGGAUUUGUGAAAAAUUGACAAACAGAGGUUCAAGAAAUGGAAUUCCUUCAGUUUUCUAAAGUGUCCUAGCUGCAACCAGCAGGUGCCUCAUGUCGUGAAGGCUGUGAAGACUUCACUCCUGGCUCCAUCCUAGAGGAGAUGGUGGCUUCUGAGAGCCUCAAAAGAUCACCACGCUAUGGAAAGAAACAAAAGGAAGGAAGAAGAAUGAGAAUACCAUCCUGCCACACACAGGGAGACAUAUGGCACACUUGAAAUAUGUUCAAGUACAAUGAUUGUGUUGUUCUACCAUGAUUCAUGCACCUCUGUCCCUUCCCAACCAGUAGGAUGAUGGUGGGUGAAAGUUCAUUCUGGCUUUGGUGUGGGCCCUGGGCUUCUGCAUUCCCUCCAGUGUGUGUCUCAUGGUGGCUCCUGUUGGCCUAAUCAAGCUUGUGUGGCUCGAUAUACAAGUCACAAAGAUUUUUCUUUUCAUGCUUGCAAUCAUUGAGAUUGCAUUCUCUGAAAUAAUGGUUUCACCAACUUUAUUUAUAUUGACUUACUAUUUCUGUUCAUAAUUGUUCACGGCACAAUUUAUUCCAUUGCGAAAGGUACACCUCUCCUUUAGUAUAAAAAUACUCACAAAAAGAAAGGAAUACGCCUGAUAGAAAAUGACUGCAACAAAGAGUCUAUUAUUAACCAUGUAAGCCCUCCUGUUUUUAUGCAAUUAGGAUGGUGUCUGCACUUUUCUUAGAAGCCUUUAUUUGGUGAUUGUUUCUUAUGCCUCACCACAAAAACGCUCCUCUCCCAAAGCAAUUACAGUUUCAGAAUCUAUCUGCUUGCCACCUUAUUAGGCUAUUACUGUUUGAGCACGCAGUACUUCGCUUGUUUGAUUCAUUCACAUGUAGGUUAUUUCAACAUGGAGUGUGUGGAGUGAUGGGAGGUGCCCCAUGUCCCAGGAAAUACAGUUGUGGAUUUUUGCCUUUUAAUUUGCAUUUAAUCACUUGAGCAUGAGGUGAAGAACAGUCGAUGAUAUUUCAAUGAUAAUACACAUUUAGAGGCUAACAGAGUGAGAAGAGAAAAGAAAAUUGGCUUAACUCUGUAACAGUACUAUUGAUUAUGGUUAUUGAAGCUCAAUUACCAUGCAACUCAAUAGUAAAUAGGCUUAUGCUUAUAUACAUGUGCAUGUAUUGUUAAAUAUUAGAUGCCAGUGUACAUUUUAUUUGGUUCUUUUAGUGAACUAUGUCCAAGUGCAAAUUAUGAGCCUCAAGUAGUGAGAUUAAUGCCCCAAAGCACAUGAAAUGCAUUUUGUAUGCUCAAUGUCUUCCUUCUUUUGGCAGACUUUUCAAUUAUUUACACCACUUAGAAUAAUGGUUAUUGUCCUAUUGCCCUUAGGAACAUGGUCUGAAUGCCCAAAGCAACAUCCCAAUUCCCAGCAUGACUCCACCAUUGUUUUCAUUCCUUCCUGGCUAUGGCCCUGAACUUGGGGCCUUGCACAAUGGUUCCUUCCCUCUCUCUGAAACUUUUCUGCCCCGAUCUUUGCUUUCUGCUGCUCUUCCAGGUCUUUGCUUUAGAUGGCCCUCUUCUUCUCCUUUUCUCCCUAAAACUGGACUAGAUGCUCCUUUAAUAUGCUUCUUACACUUGAUACUUUCCCUAUCUUAAAAUGUUCAUAUUCUAUUGACAUUGACAUUACAUUGUUCCCUUCCAGACAAUGACCUUCUUGGGCAUAGGGAGUUCAUUUUAUUCAUUGUCGUAUCCUCCAUGUUUAGCACAGUGCACGGCACUUAAAAGACCCAAUAAAUAUUUGUUGAAGGAAUACAUGAAAGAGCAAGUCCUGCUCUGCUGUUAGGCCCACAGCACAUUGCUUCUUCCUGCCACAGAAGAGAAGGACAGUCUGGUUGGAAUAAGUCAUUUUCAAGAAUAUUACGAUUAGGCCGGACACAGUGGCUCACACCUGUAAUACCAGUACUUUGGGAGACCGAGGCGGGUGGAUCACCUGAGGCUGGGAG
Long non-coding RNA from Piliocolobus tephrosceles (Ugandan red Colobus), 2114 nucleotides. RefSeq lists it as uncharacterized. The transcript is spliced from 3 exons. Lineage: Eukaryota; Metazoa; Chordata; Mammalia; Primates; Cercopithecidae. The record is from RefSeq and is a predicted model, not a curated record.